CACUGAGUAUAUUUCAAAAGCUGUGCAGGCUUGUAAUAUCUACACAAGGGAGACCAAAAGUUUAAAACAGUCAUUAUAGUGCCAGGCUGGAGCUUCCUUUCCUGAAGGGCACACAGGAUGUCCAGCAAAGGCCCCCUCAGGUAACCGAAGAAACAUUGCUCUGCAGUUCCUCAUGAUUACAUGUCUUUUGUCUUGUAUUACUGUGGUUAUGAUUAUUAUUUCUACAGUGCCCAGGAGGCCUAAGCAAAGAUGAAAAUCCUAUUCUGUACUUACAAACAGAUAUUUGGAAACACAACUCCAGUUCCAGAGAACUUGUUGAAAAGAGAUUGUGUUUGAAAGAUGAGCAAGGUUGUUUUCAAUACUGGCGGAGCUGGCAGGUUGCAUGGAGCUUGCCUUGAAUUGGGAUCACACAUCUGUUCUGCAAGAAUUUGCAAGAUAGCUUCCGCAAAACACCAACAUGUUUGAUUUCAGAAGUGCUGUGGCUUGGGGCUCCACUAAACCUGUUUGGUGCAUAAUGAAAAAGGAUAAACACAGACUUCACACUAACGCAUUUAAGCUGUCUUCCUCAUAACCCUGGAUAAUCAAGGGUGGGUGUAGACUGAAGCCCGAUAGAGAUGCUGUGAAGUCUGUGGCUGUGACCUUUCCACCUCA
Molecule: long non-coding RNA, 651 nt
Organism: Aquila chrysaetos chrysaetos
Lineage: Eukaryota; Metazoa; Chordata; Aves; Accipitriformes; Accipitridae
Exons: 3
Source: RefSeq, a predicted model, not a curated record